CUAAUAGGAUGUGUAAAGGCGAAGGCAACCCUCUAUGUAUAAACUGACGUUGAGAGACGAAGGCUUGGGGAGCAAACAGGAUUAGAUACCCUAGUAGUCCAAGCAGAAAAUUAUGAAUGUUAUAUGUUAGCAAAGUUAUUAAAAGUUAGUGUAUAAAUGAAAGUGUAAGCAUUCCACCUUAAGAGUAAUGUGGCAACGCAGGAACUGAAAUCAUUAGACCGUUUCUGAAACCAGUAGUGAAGUAUGUUAUUUAAUUCGAUGAUCCUCGAAAAACCUUACCACAAUUUGAAUAACGUUUUUAUUGAACAGCUUCAAUAAAAGCAUUACAGGCGUUGCACGGCUGUCUAAAGCUAAUGUCGUGAGAUCUUGGUUAGUUCCAUUAAAUUAGCGUAACCCCCUUACUUUAUUUAUGGUUUUUUUUAUUAAAAAAGGAUAAUAAGGUGUCAAACUGCUACGGCGGUUUCGGUAAUAGGGAAGAAGACAAGUCAUCAUGACCUUAAUAUUGUGGGCUAUAGACGUGCCGCAUAUUUUUGUACAAAGAGAGUCAAAAAUGCGAAUUUUAGGUAAUCUCUAAAGCAGAAUAAAAAAU
Molecule: ribosomal RNA, 589 nt
Filed under: Melaspilea bagliettoana
Lineage: Eukaryota; Fungi; Ascomycota; Dothideomycetes; Eremithallales; Melaspileaceae
Description: partial small subunit ribosomal RNA
Rfam family: Bacterial small subunit ribosomal RNA
Source: RNAcentral